Molecule: long non-coding RNA, 1026 nt
Filed under: Monodelphis domestica (gray short-tailed opossum)
Lineage: Eukaryota; Metazoa; Chordata; Mammalia; Didelphimorphia; Didelphidae
Description: lncRNA (ENSMODG00000037479.1)
Source: RNAcentral
CUGGAUUUUGACUGACACCCCACAAUUAGGAGUGCAGACAUGUUAAUUCAGCUUGUGACUGAAUGGUACUAGCAAAUGGAGUAAUAUUCCACCAAGAUUAAAUAUGUGUGUCCUGAAAGACUAUAUUUCAAAAGAAUAUAGUUAUUCUAACAAGGAAUUGAUUUGGAUGUACAAGUAUACUAUUAUUCAAAUAACUUUCAAAUAUAACAGAGCUUAGAGAAAAAAAAUGCCAUUUUCUACACCAGCAGAGCAUGUAAUAGUUUGUCACUACAAGUAAAGUUUAAUUUGUACAAAGGCUCAAUGUAUCUUUUUUCUGCAGGUUGCAUUCUUCCAGGCCUACUGUCAAAUCCACUGUGGCACAGGCUGGUCUGCUUCUUCCGUCCCACCCUGCUCUUUUAUCAUCUUCUAUCUGGCUUGUGAAGCUUCAAAAAAGAAUGAAAGAGAAGUCUUCAUUAUUUGCUCAGCAACUGUGCUGCUCACGACUUUCUCAAAUUUAAAGAAAUGAAGAUGGACUUAUAUUCAGCAACUUCCUUGAAUGGAAACUGUCAACAUUUUGGGGAGAAGAACCACCGGAAGAGUAAUCACAGCUAUGCAAUCCAGAAGGCAAGAACACCAGGGACAAAAUCAUGUCAAGUCAAACUCCCUGAAAAUACUUUCCUGGCAAUCAAAGAAAGUGUGUCUUAAUCAAGAAGUAACAGCCAUAGUCCCAUCCGUUAGGGUUUAAGAACUGGGUUUUUGUUCUGGGUGAACUUGAGGAGAUUUUUUGUUUUUGAUGAAUGAAUAUAGUGAACCUACAAAACCCAUUUAAACAUUUUUUCAAACAGAUAGGAAAAGAAAAGUCCUACCUCUAACAUUUAUUCCACACUCAAGACAUCAUUUUCUAUGGGAUAUUUUUUCCCACAUUAGUUAUUACAGUAAUGUUAAGAUCUGUUUGAACUACAGAGACAUUAAAACUAUGAGACCUACCAUUCUAUCAUCUUAUUCCUUCAGUUGAUACAAAUAAACUGAAGCAUUGUUUACUUGGCA